Molecule: long non-coding RNA, 904 nt
Filed under: Phascolarctos cinereus (koala)
Lineage: Eukaryota; Metazoa; Chordata; Mammalia; Diprotodontia; Phascolarctidae
Description: lncRNA (ENSPCIG00000021423.2)
Source: RNAcentral
GGGCGGAGAAAGGGGGGGCGGAGAAGAGGGGGCGGAGAACAGGAGAGAGAGGAGGGAAUCGAGGAGGAGGGAAGGGAAGGCAGCGGAGCUCAGCGGAUCCGAGAGGAGCUCAGCAACUCGGAGCUGAACUGAGCGCGCCGAGCGCUCCCCAGGCGCCGCUCUACCUGAGCUCCCCCGCCCCCUCUAGUGCCCCGCCCCCCACUGCGGCUCUACCUGCAUUCCCCCUCCGGGUAUCUGUUCCCAGCACCACCCCCCCUCAGCCAGGCACGCGCUGCUGCCGCUGCGGGACUGGCCGGGCACCUGGCACCUGGCGACCGCUGCGGGCACACCUCUCCACCUAGCUAGGCACUGGCAAGCGGGAGCCGCUCAGCCCGAGCAAGAGCUGGCGCGCAGACUGACAGACAGACAGACAGGCGGGUGGCCAGAAGGAGGGGACGCGAGAGAAGCAGGGUGCCGCCAACAAGGAAGAGCCCGCGGCCAACUUUGCCUCCGAGCGCCCAGGCUGAGCCUGUGCCCCCCAACAUGGCCUCCGCAGCCGCCGAAGCCCCGGGAGCCCAGAACAGUGAGAAAGGCUUCCACUACAUCAGCAGCGGAAAAAAAGAAAUUCAUGUUUGGAGCCCUGAACCAUGAAUGCAACAUGUUCUAUUAUGUUGCAAUAAAGAUAAAUUUUGGAUUGACCUUUUCUGCAUCUUGAUGUGGUCCAUAAACAUCACUGCUCCUCAUGAUAACAACUGGAAACAGUUCCCAGUAAGAUUGUACAAAACAUUCUGCAGCUGCUCUAGAUGAUGCAAAAGGAUUUGUAGGUUGUUUUGGUGAAGACUCAUCACAUUUGUCAUCAAGGCUACCCCUGCAGAGUUUGUCAGCGUUCAUAUAAAUAAAUUUCCCUAUUCUGGCUUCGUAAGCA